AAGCAUGUCCAUGAAUGUUUACAUUGCUCAAAGCCCAACCCCUUUGAGUUGCCAGAUUUCUCCUGAUGUUUUGUCUUGGCCCUCAACCACUCGUUCUACACAUUACUAAAACCAGAGAGAAUACAAAAAUCCGAUCUUUCUUCUGGAUCCUUCUUUGGUUUGGUUUUUGGUUUUUGUGA
Molecule: long non-coding RNA, 179 nt
Organism: Telopea speciosissima
Lineage: Eukaryota; Viridiplantae; Streptophyta; Magnoliopsida; Proteales; Proteaceae
Exons: 4
Source: RefSeq, a predicted model, not a curated record